Molecule: ribosomal RNA, 652 nt
Filed under: uncultured bacterium
Lineage: Bacteria
Description: bacterial SSU rRNA
Rfam family: Bacterial small subunit ribosomal RNA
Source: RNAcentral
GUCCGAUUAGCUAGUUGGUGGGGUAAUGGCUCACCAAGGCAACGAUCGGUAGCCGGCCUGAGAGGGCGGACGGCCACACUGGGACUCAGAUACGGCCCAGACUCCUACGGGAGGCAGCAGUGGGGAAUAUUGCACAAUGGGCGCAAGCCUGAUGCAGCAACGCCGCGUGCGGGAUGACGGCCUUCGGGUUGUAAACCGCUUUCAGUUCCGACGAAGCGAAAGUGACGGUAGGAACAGAAGAAGGACCGGCCAACUACGUGCCAGCAGCCGCGGUGAUACGUAGGGUCCGAGCGUUGUCCGGAAUUAUUGGGCGUAAAGGGCUUGUAGGCGGUUUGUCACGUCGAAAGUGAAAACUCAGAGCUUAACUCUGAGCCUGCUUCCGAUACGGGCAAAUUAGAGGGAUGCAGGGGAGAACGGAAUUCCUGGUGGAGCGGUGGAAUGCGCAGAUAUCACGAGGAACACCGGUGGCGAAGGCGGUUCUCUGGGCAUUUCCUGACGCUGAGAAGCGAAAGCGUGGGGAGCAAACAGGCUUAGAUACCCUGGUAGUCCACGCCGUAAACGGUGGGCACUAGUGUGGGGGACAUUCCACGUUCUCCGUGCCGAAGCUAACGCAUUAAGUGCCCCGCCUGGGGAGUACGGCCGCAAGGCUAAA